GAUGAACGCUGGCGGCGUGCCUAAUACAUGCAAGUCGAGCGAACAGACGAGGAGCUUGCUCCUCUGACGUUAGCGGCGGACGGGUGAGUAACACGUGGAUAACCUACCUAUAAGACUGGGAUAACUUCGGGAAACCGGAGCUAAUACCGGAUAAUAUAUUGAACCGCAUGGUUCAAUAGUGAAAGACGGUUUUGCUGUCACUUAUAGAUUGAUCCGCGCCGCAUUAGCUAGUUGGUAAGGUAACGGCUUACCAAGGCAACGAUGCGUAGCCGACCUGAGAGGGUGAUCGGCCACACUGGAACUGAGACACGGUACAGACUCCUACGGGAGGCAGCAGUAGGGAAUCUUCCGCAAUGGGCGAAAGCUUGACGGAGCAACGCCGCGUGAGUGAUGAAGGUCUUAGGAUCGUAAAACUCUGUUAUUAGGGAAGAACAAAUGUGUAAGUAACUAUGCACGUCUUGACGGUACCUAAUCAGAAAGCCCCGGCUAACUACGUG
This 497-nucleotide ribosomal RNA is filed under the name uncultured bacterium. Its description in RNAcentral is "partial 16S ribosomal RNA". It matches the Rfam family "Bacterial small subunit ribosomal RNA", at positions 28 to 507 of the family's 1533-position model. The record is from RNAcentral.